This 466-nucleotide ribosomal RNA is filed under the name uncultured bacterium. Its description in RNAcentral is "bacterial SSU rRNA". It matches the Rfam family "Bacterial small subunit ribosomal RNA", at positions 339 to 797 of the family's 1533-position model. The record is from RNAcentral.
CUACGGGAGGCAGCAGUGAGGAAUUUUGGACAAUGGGCGCAAGCCUGAUCCAGCAAUGCCGCGUGCAGGAUGAAGGCCUUCGGGUUGUAAACUGCUUUUGUACGGAACGAAACGGUCCUUUCUAAUAAAGAGGGCUAAUGACGGUACCGUAAGAAUAAGCACCGGCUAACUACGUGCCAGCAGCCGCGGUAAUACGUAGGGUGCGAGCGUUAAUCGGAAUUACUGGGCGUAAAGCGUGCGCAGGCGGUGAUGUAAGACAGAUGUGAAAUCCCCGGGCUCAACCUGGGACCUGCAUUUGUGACUGCAUUGCUAGAGUACGGUAGAGGGGGAUGGAAUUCCGCGUGUAGCAGUGAAAUGCGUAGAUAUGCGGAGGAACACCGAUGGCGAAGGCAAUCCCCUGGACCUGUACUGACGCUCAUGCACGAAAGCGUGGGGAGCAAACAGGAUUAGAAACCCCUGUAGUCCC